Molecule: ribosomal RNA, 288 nt
Filed under: Vibrio cholerae
Lineage: Bacteria; Pseudomonadati; Pseudomonadota; Gammaproteobacteria; Vibrionales; Vibrionaceae
Description: partial 23S ribosomal RNA
Rfam family: Bacterial large subunit ribosomal RNA
Source: RNAcentral
CGACCCCUAAGGUGAGGCCGAAAGGCGUAAUCGAUGGGAAACGGGUUAAUAUUCCCGUACUUCUGACUAUUGCGAUGGGGGGACGGAGAAGGCUAGGUGGGCCAGGCGACGGUUGUCCUGGUUCAAGUGCGUAGGCUUGAGAGUUAGGUAAAUCCGGCUCUCUCUAAGGCUGAGACACGACGUCGAGCUACUACGGUAGUGAAGUCAUUGAUGCCAUGCUUCCAGGAAAAGCCUCUAAGCUUCAGAUAGUCAGGAAUCGUACCCCAAACCGACACAGGUGGUCGGGUA